AGCAGGUACACCUGCACUGAAAAAAAGGGACUGGCCAUCUCUUGGAUUUAUGUGAAGUAAGUCAAUAAGAUAGCAACGUUAAAUCUCGUGAAACCACGCGUGAUUUCAUCUCGCGGGCUUUGGAUCGUGGUUCAAAAAAGGCAUCCAUCUCAGUCAAGUCGAGCAGCCAACUCUACGUUUUUGGAUGACAUUAAUGCUCAAAGGGAGUCUCAUCAAAGUGCUCCGCAUCUGUGUGAAAGACAAUUGCAACAUCUUGGUGCAGGAGUUCAUGGACUUGACUGAGGCCACUGCACAGAUUGAGAAAACCACAAUGAACAUCUGUCUCCAGAGAUGCGCCAGGCAAUGACUUUUCUGAUGUUGGCAUCAUCAUCGAGGGUAUAGUAGUUCUUCAAGAUCUGGAUAACGUGACCUUUGCAGUAGCCAUGCUGUUUGGACCUUUUUUAUUCCUUCAAUAUGAGUUACCCAUCACAGCUCUGCUACACUUUUGAGGUGAUUCAAUGGGUGGUAAUGGAGUUGGAAGCAACUCAGCUCUCAAGAAAAGCUCACAACUGAGACAAAACUGCUCCUGCAAGGAAAGCUCACUGUUAUGCAUGCAAGGUGAUCAGCUCUAGGUGAGAGGACAUUUAAAUCUCACACUUGUUCUGCUGCAUUUUUGAAGCUCAAUUCCAGGAGCAGAUCGCAGGGUUCAUUUUUAUAUACUCUGCAACUGCCAUGAGGACAAGCCGUUUUUGUUGUUGUUGUUUGUUUUUCCUUUUGCUCUGUACAAGUUCUCUGUUUGUCUGUUUGGCAGCAUUUUUAAAUUUCUGUUUGUAUUUUUUCUUUCUUUUACUAGUGAAGAGAUGUAGCGUGAACAGUUAUACAGUCUAAAUAUCCCAUAUGGGUCGUGUGAAAUGGUAUUUUCAGUUUCAUUCAGUUGAAGUAAAGAACGUUGAAUAUUUCUAAGUAUGCUGUUUUGAACCAAGAUGUCACAGUAUGAUCAGUGCUGUAAUUUUUGACAGUCACUGUAUCAAUGUUAUUUUUGCGUCUCUUGAAUAAAGUUUUUGACCUGCAAGUGCUAAUUUCUUUAGUUAUUGGGGUAAAAUGGGUAAUGUUAAUAGGAAGGUGUUUGCCAAUUCAGUAACCUAAUUUAAUGUUAAUGGAAACUAACAUUUCCUCAAAUUGUUUAGUUAUAAUUGUUGUUUAACUGAAUCUUGACGUCAGAGGCCUUAAAUAGAAUGUUUUGUAUUGUCCUGUAACAUUUUUCAAAAGAAACAGUCCAAUUUCUUUGCUGUGAUUGAUUCCAGAGAACACGGAAGAACUGACAUUAUUUAACUGUUGAUUUAUAUAGAUUCAGUGGAGGAGUAAUGUCAGUUUAA
This is a long non-coding RNA of Astatotilapia calliptera (eastern happy), 1355 nucleotides long. NCBI's taxonomy places the organism in Eukaryota, Metazoa, Chordata, Actinopteri, Cichliformes, Cichlidae. The record is from Ensembl.